This 328-nucleotide ribosomal RNA is filed under the name uncultured cyanobacterium. RNAcentral describes it as "bacterial SSU rRNA". It matches the Rfam family "Bacterial small subunit ribosomal RNA", at positions 8 to 339 of the family's 1533-position model. The record is from RNAcentral. Lineage: Bacteria; Bacillati; Cyanobacteriota.
AGAGUUUGAUCAUCGGCUCAGGACGAACGCUGGCGGCGUGCUUCAUACAUGCAAGUCGAACGAGAAGUUACCUUCGGGUAAUAGACAGUGGCGGACGGGUGAGUAAUGUGUAGAGAAUCUGCCCUAGAGUGGGGGACAACAGUUGGAAACGACUGCUAAUACCGCAUAUGCGCGUAGCUGAGAAGCUAUUCGUGAAAACUCCGGUGCUCUGGGAUGAGUCUGCAUCUGAUUAGCUAGUUGGGGGUGUAAUGGACCACCAAGGCGACGAUCAGUAGCUGGUUUGAGAGGAUGAUCAGCCACAAUGGGACUGAGACACGGCCCAUACUCC